This is a non-coding RNA of Pelobates cultripes (western spadefoot toad), 591 nucleotides long. The record is from the annotation of a GenBank genome assembly. NCBI's taxonomy places the organism in Eukaryota, Metazoa, Chordata, Amphibia, Anura, Pelobatidae.
CACAAAUUCCCCCACUAUCCUUUCAGAAAUGCGGUACAGCAACCCCUUUUCCCAGGUAUACCAUUCUCCCUCUAAUCCGGCCUGGUCGGAGAUCACCCUAUCCCUGUAUACUUUUAAUGUGGGGUCUAUCUGAACCUCAGCCUCAAAUUCAGUCGGGGUAUCCCAGGUAACAUGGGUCGUAGGAGGGUCCCAGUCUUUUACCUGAGCCUCAGAGUGCGUUGCUGGAGCCGUGGUGCGAGCCUGUUGCCUGGUGGUUACUGGGUGAGCCUCUUGGAGUGGAGCUUGAGGAAUUAAGGUGGAAGUCAUUCGACCCAGGUCGAUUUGUGCACAGUCAUGGAGGAUAAGCGAGCAGCAGAGGAAAGGCAGUAGGAAAGGAUGGAGAACCUUUCUGAUCGGCGGUUUCAGGCUUCAGGAUGCCCAGGAAGCGAGGCGCCAGGAGGCAGAAAUCGCCCGGCAGCAGAUGGAGCAGUUGGCUACCUUCAACCAGGCCUUCCUUGGUGUCCUUAGGCAGCUUGUUCAAGUGCUGUGAAGCAGUCGUAAUCCCAGGUCGCCGCCCAGGCAGUAGUGCAUUUCAGCCAGCACAGGACCUGU